GAGAGAGAGAAAAUCAGAUAACUUUGACAAUAAUUGACAUGGUAUAUUGGUAUUAUACAAAUGAAAAACAUGCAGUAAAACUGAAUUGCCAGUUGAACAGAUUAUUUGGGAAUCGAAGGCAUUUGAUGCAAGAAUUCAUUUCUCUUUCACUUACAAUUUUUGCUUAUAUUCUAGAAAAAAUGUUCAAUUAAUCUUAACACACACACACAUAGAAAACUUAUUAAUCUUGCUCUAAUCUAUAAGACAACAGAUUCUCUUAAUUCUUAAGACUUCAAUAGUUAACAGAAAGUUUUUAAAAUUAAAUCAAAGUAAAUUUAUCUUACUGAAAGCACCCUAGUAGUAUGAAUUUCCCUUUAGACAUUGUUUUCAAAACUAUCUGUGGAUUCCAUUGGCAGCCAAACCCAGUAUUAUUAGCUGCGACUGAAAACCCAUCAUCUGUCAUCUAAAAAAGAAAAAAUUGAUUCCUUAAUCUUUGUCAGCAUUCAACAGGACGUCAUGACCUAAUUUUGGUAGCCACUAUCUGAUUGGUUUAACUGUUAUUUUAUCCUUAAUCCUCAAUGUUCAACUUCAAGCGAGUUAAAAAGGGAUUAGGUAUACAAAUUAAGCCAUUAAACUCCCAUCAUCAUAAGACAAUGAGAUAUCACUUGCAGAAUUCGAACUGACAAAAAAUUGAAGGAGAGAAAACAAAAUAAACGAAAAGCUCGAAUGACUGACAAUAUAGCCAUUUCUUAGUCUCGAUUUCCCACAAAUUAAAACGAUCUAAAAAUUCCAGCAACA
Molecule: unclassified non-coding RNA, 777 nt
Filed under: Hevea brasiliensis (rubber tree)
Lineage: Eukaryota; Viridiplantae; Streptophyta; Magnoliopsida; Malpighiales; Euphorbiaceae
Source: RNAcentral